GCGCGUAGCGCGACGAGGUUAUUCUGAGUGAUUUCCGCUGAGGAAAUCUUUUCCUAGAUCUAAAACGUCUGGGGAAUAAGGGGAGGGCAAGUCUGGUGUCAGCCGCCGCGGUAAUACCAGCUCCUCGAGUGGUCAGGGCGUUUAUUGGGCCUAAAGCAUCCGUAGCCUGCUCAGUAGGUCUCCUGUUAAAUCCAACGGCUCAACCGUUGGUCUGCAGGAGAUACCGCUGGGCUAGGAGGCGGGAGAGGCGGACGGUACUCCGAGGGUAGGGGUAAAAUCCUUUGAUCCCCGGAAGACCACCAAUGGCGAAGGCGGUCCGCCAGAACGCGCUCGACGGUGAGGGAUGAAAGCUGGGGGAGCGAACCGGAUUAGAUA
RNAcentral lists this ribosomal RNA (375 nucleotides) under uncultured archaeon. RNAcentral's name for it is "bacterial SSU rRNA". It matches the Rfam family "Archaeal small subunit ribosomal RNA", at positions 357 to 735 of the family's 1478-position model. The record is from RNAcentral.